This 255-nucleotide ribosomal RNA is filed under the name uncultured bacterium. Its description in RNAcentral is "partial small subunit ribosomal RNA". It matches the Rfam family "Bacterial small subunit ribosomal RNA", at positions 26 to 285 of the family's 1533-position model. The record is from RNAcentral.
AGGACGAACGCUGGCGGCGUGCUUAACACAUGCAAGUCGAACGGAAAGGCCCUUUCGGGGGUACUCGAGUGGCGAACGGGUGAGUAACACGUGGGUGAUCUGCCCUGCACUUCGGGAUAAGCUUGGGAAACUGGGUCUAAUACCGGAUAGGACUACGGACUUCAUGGUUUGUGGUGGAAAGCUUUGCGGUGUGGGAUGGGCCGCGGCCUAUCAGCUUGUUGGUGGGGUGAUGGCCUACCAAGGCGACGACGGGUA